UGACAUCUCUCACCAAGAUGCCCCUCACUGGGAGUUCCCCAGUCGCUCUCCACAUUCACCUGGCGGCUCCACUGUGGAAAACAAGCCCUGUGUCUCCUGCAUAACAAGAGGAAGGAUAUCAUAGCCCCCUCAUACAGAGCAGCUUGUCCCAUCUAGGGGGGUUAGGCGGCUAGGUGCGGGGAACUUAGCCCGUGCCGGAAAUGGCCCGGGAGGUGCACUUUCCUUCCCCCACUGUGCCUCUCUUACGCGGUCCCAGCCGGGAUCAUACUUGCAUCUCCCCCUGCGCCCGUAGCGCACUUCUCUCCAUACACCGUCCAUGUGGAGAAGUUCUUCCUCACGGUGUAUAUAAGUAAUCACUAGGUUGUAUGUGUUAUGUUUGUUGGUCGUCUAGGUAGGUAUGUUUUAAAGUAAUAUGCUUUUGCACAAUAUGUUUUAAUAAAGGAUUUAUAGUUAUAUUUAGGUCUAGGGAAGAUAUUUAUUAGAGGAAGGAAAAAAACAGUGAAAAAGAAAGAAAACAACUUAAAGAGGUAAAACAAAACAAGUGUGUUUCAAAAGAAAACAACUUAACUUGAGCUGCUGCAGAAAAGUGAAAACAGUGUGCUAAACGGCGACGUUUCAACCUUAUUCAGGUCUUCUUCAGGCCUAGCACACUAAUAUCUGAGAAAUAGAGAGCUGUUGUUCAACUGACUGACAGAGAUCCUCACUGUUUCUAAGUCAGAGCAGGAGUGACUGCCUCUGCUGCUGCUGCCUCCUUUUAUUCCCUCCCCCGGGACUCUACGCAAGUAGGCCCUCCCCCCUGCUACGUAUCCUCCAGAGGGGAUUUCCACAGCUUUGGCCAUGAGGUAAGUAUUGUAGGUGGUUGUAGGUAAUCCAGGUAGGUAUUUUACUGUAGGUAGGUAGGUGGUGUUCAUCAUCCAGGUAAGUAUGUAGAGGUAAGUAUAUUAGACAGGUUUAGUGUAGUACAGGAAAGGGUUUUAAGCAGCAGAGGAGGAGCUGGCCAUAGGGUUGGGGUCAGGCCCAAGGUCAAGGACGGUUAGGUGAAGGAAAGAAAUAGGAACCACUAUGUGGUCCCUAUGGUGCACUCUCCACCCCAAGGAUGGCUAGCCCCCCAUCCCCAUCCUCCACUACUUGGGUUUAUCAGCGUGGUGUAUUUAUAUAAUAACGUGUUAAAAUGUUUUAGUUGAAUAUUUAUUUAUCAUAAAAUUAAAUGUAUAUCAAGUAUAAUGUUUGUAUUUUUUUGUUUUAACACCGCUUCUUUUUUUGUAUUUUUCUCUUUUUUUGUAUUUAUUUUAUAUGUAUUUUUUCCUGGUUUGGCUUUAAUUUAGUUUUCCAAUUAAUUCCCACCCUUGUUUAAUUUGGUUAACCGAUGUCUUUUCUUUUUCCAUCUGUAGGUGGCGCUCGCGCGACGUUUCGUCUUGUCUGUGACUUCUUCAGGCUGGCCAUCCUACAUGUAAAUUUACUUGAACCCUGGAGAGAUGUUGCUCCCUCAGUGGUUCAUGCCAAACUGACUUGUCUUCUGUUCUAACUUCCCUUUUAUACUCCGCCCACUCUGUCUUUUCUCUUUUAGUAAAUUCUUUUUAGUUUUCUAAAUCUGUGUGUUAGUUAUCCAAUGAAAUGGCUUGUUUUAUUUAUCUUAUUUUUAACCAAACUAAUUUUGAAUUAUUUAUUUCUUCACCUAAUGUUUCACUAUUUAUAUUUUUUUUGACUAUGUUGUUAUUUAACUUAUUUAUUGUCAUUAACUUAUUUAUCAACUAAUGAAUUAUUAAAUUAUUAACCCCUAACCUCCUUGUAAAUUAUCCUGUCAAUUAAUAAAUUUAUUUACCCAAAUUUCCUAAUCCUUUUCCCUCUUUAUUUCCCUUUUUCUAUGACUCAUCCUCCAUCCUUCACCCUAGGCCGGUGCCUAUAUCAUAACGUACCUCGUAUAUAAUUUGCCUGCCUUUGGUGGGAUUGGUGGGUUUAGAAUAGGGCAGGGAACCAAAUUGGGGUUGGAAUGUAGGUGAUGGGAUUGGUGCCACAACUGGGGCUAACAUGUAACGAAUUAAAAAACUAGAAGAAAGGAAAGGGGUAGAGGGUGUUAACCCAGAUUGACCCGGGUCAAUCUGUCAGUUGUGGGAGAACGGUAGGUGGUAGAGCUACGGGGGUGGUACCGUUGUAAAGCUGGUGGUUGAAAAUGUGGGUGGCCAAGUGGGUCCCGCCCCCGUGCGAGGUUGCGUUGCGGAGCCACGCCUCCUUUUAGCGUCCGGGUCAUGCGUAUUUCGGGCUAGGAAGGUCGUAGAGAGUCGGGACAAAGACUGGCGUGUUCAGCGUGGUGGAAUUAUGGCAGGUUAGGUGCGGGGAACUGAGCCCGUGCCGGAGGAGGCCCGGGAGGUGCACUGUCCUUCCCCCAGUGCCCCUGUCGUAAGUAAUCCCAGCCGGGAUCAUAUUUCCUCUGUCCUCUGCGCCCGUAGCGCACCUCUCUCCAUACACCGUCCAUUCAGGGGCUUUUUACCUCGCGGUGUAUGUAAAUAAUCACUAGGUUUGUAUAUUUAUGGUUAGGGUUGAUCUAGGUAGAUAUAUAUAAUAUAAUAAUAAACUAGUCUGCUUGUGAGACAGUAUGCGAUAAUAAGGAGCUAUAUUUUUAUUUAACAGAUAUAUAGACAAGGAAAAGACAGUAAGGAGUAAGAAGAAAACAAAGAAAGUGAAAGGGGCAAAACAAACCAAGUGUUUCUAAAAGAAAAAACAACUCAAUUUGAGCUGCUGCAGAAAACAAAAAAUAGUGUGCUACCCGGCGACGUUUCGACCUGUUUCAGGUCUUCUUCAGGCCAAGCACACUAAUAAUGAAGUAAAUAUUAAGAAAAUAGAGAGCUGUUUGUUCCACUGACUGACAGAGAUCCUCACUGUUUCAAGGCCAGAGCAGGAGUGACUGCCUCUGCUGCUGCUGCCUCCUUUUAUACCCUCCCCCGGGACUCUACGCAAGUAGGCCCUCCCCUCUGCUACGGAUCCUGCAGAGGAGAGCUCUACAGCUUUGGCCAUGAGGUAAGAAUUUAGUUGAUCGCAGUCAUUAAGGUAAGUAUAUCGUUAGUCAGGCUUCCACAUUGCAGGUAAGUAUGUCAGGUAGGUCUUUCGUUAGUUUUAGUCCUGUACAGGUAAGUAUCUAGGUGGUUUAGGCUCCGUCCGGUAAGUAUUUUAGUGUGUAUUGGUCCUUUAAAUUAGUAUACGGUUGUUUGUUUUUCCUUAUUGUCAUCCAGGUGUAUCAGGUAGGUAUUUCAUUCGGUUUGUAAUAGUGUACAGGUAAGUAUUUUAAUGGUUUCGUCCUUUCCAGGUAAGUAUUUGAUACGUAUUGGUCCUUUAAGGUGAGUAUGGAGUUUGUUUGUUGUUUCUUAUUGUCAAUAAUGUGUAUGAGAUAUGUAUUUUGUUCAUCCCAGUCUUCUACAGGUAAGUAUUUUGGCGGUAUCGUCCUUUCCAGGUAAGUAUUUAGUGCGUAUUGGUCCUUUAAGGUAAGUAUGGAGUUUGUUUGUUGUUUCCAAUUGUCAAUAAUGUGUUUCAGAUAUGUAUUCAGGUAGUCCCAGUCUUCUACAGGUAAGUAUCUCGGCGGUUUCGUCCUUUCCAGGUAAGUAUUUCAUGCGUAUUGGUCCUUUAAGGUAAGUAUGGAGUUUGUUUGUUGUUUAUAAUUGUCAAUAAUGUGUAUAAGGUAUAUAUUUAGUUAGUCCCAGUCUUCUACAGGUAAGUAUUUUGGUGAUUUGGUCAUUCCCAGGUAAGUAUUUAGUGUGUAUUGGUCCUUUAAGGUAAGUAUGGAGUUGUGUAUUGUUCCUAAUUGUAAACAAUGUGUACAGAAUAGCUGCCUUAACGAGUAUACUUUCAUCCUCUAUCCAUCUGUCUAUUAUUUAUUUAUUUAUAUCACUAGGUCUUUAUUAGCAGACCUAAAUCUGUAUGCAUUAAUACUCUUUUUUUGCUCGGGGCUUCUAUAAUGUAUUAGGAUCUCCUAGGGCUAUCCACUAGGAUGAUAUAUAUUUAAUAAAUGAUAUAGGUAUAAGUUAAUGGGGGGUUUUAGGCUUUAAAGGGGUAAGAGUGGUUGGGGUCAGGCCAGAACUAGACUGAGGUUGAGGUAAGGAAUACCCUCAGGGCGAGGUUAGACUAAGAAGGAAAUGUCAAAGGUCGAAGUCAGACAUAAAGGCCAGAGACCUUGGGUUUAGGCAUCAAGUCUCCUAAAGGGUUAGGUGAUAGGGAAAGAAUGGGAACCACUAUGUGGUCCCCAUGGUGCACUCUCCACCCCAAGGAUGGCUAGCCUCCCAUCCCCAUCAUCCACUAAUUGGGCUUUAUCGUCGCGGUGUAUUUAUAUAAUAACGUAUAAAAUUUCUAGUUUAAUAUUUAUUUAUCAUAAAAUUAAAUAUAUAUCAAGUAUGAAUGUUUGUAUUUUUAGUUGUUUUUAAC
Acanthopagrus latus (yellowfin seabream) is the source of this 4410-nucleotide long non-coding RNA. RefSeq lists it as uncharacterized. The record is from RefSeq and is a predicted model, not a curated record. The transcript is spliced from 3 exons. NCBI's taxonomy places the organism in Eukaryota, Metazoa, Chordata, Actinopteri, Spariformes, Sparidae.